This 500-nucleotide ribosomal RNA is filed under the name uncultured bacterium. RNAcentral's name for it is "partial 16S ribosomal RNA". It matches the Rfam family "Bacterial small subunit ribosomal RNA", at positions 28 to 523 of the family's 1533-position model. The record is from RNAcentral.
GAUGAACGCUGGCGGCAUGCCUUACACAUGCAAGUCGAACGGCAGCACGGGAGCAAUCCUGGUGGCGAGUGGCGAACGGGUGAGUAAUAUAUCGGAACGUGCCCAGUCGUGGGGGAUAACGUAGCGAAAGCUACGCUAAUACCGCAUACGAUCUAUGGAUGAAAGCGGGGGAUCGCAAGACCUCGCGCGAUUGGAGCGGCCGAUAUCAGAUUAGGUAGUUGGUGAGGUAAAGGCUCACCAAGCCGACGAUCUGUAGCUGGUCUGAGAGGACGACCAGCCACACUGGGACUGAGACACGGCCCAGACUCCUACGGGAGGCAGCAGUGGGGAAUUUUGGACAAUGGGCGCAAGCCUGAUCCAGCAAUGCCGCGUGCAGGAUGAAGGCCUUCGGGUUGUAAACUGCUUUUGUACGGAACGAAACGGCGAGCUCUAAUACAGUUUGCUAAUGACGGUACCGUAGGAAUAAGCACCGGCUAACUACGCGCCAGCAGCCGCAGUAA